RNAcentral lists this ribosomal RNA (301 nucleotides) under uncultured bacterium. RNAcentral describes it as "partial 16S ribosomal RNA". It matches the Rfam family "Bacterial small subunit ribosomal RNA", at positions 509 to 807 of the family's 1533-position model. The record is from RNAcentral.
CAGUCGCCACGGGAAUACGUAGGGUGCAAGCGUUAAUCGGAAUUACUGGGCGUAAAGCGUGCGCAGGCGGUUGUGUAAGACAGGUGUGAAAUCCCCGGGCUUAACCUGGGAAUUGCAUUUGUGACUGCACGACUAGAGUGUGUCAGAGGGGGGUGGAAUUCCACGUGUAGCGGUGAAAUGCGUAGAGAUGUGGAGGAAUACCGAAGGCGAAGGCAGCCCCUUGGGAAUGUACUGACGCUCAUGUGCGAAAGCGUGGGGAGCAAACAGGAUUAGAUACCCGAGUAGUCCCUGUCUCUUAUAC